Molecule: ribosomal RNA, 520 nt
Filed under: uncultured archaeon
Lineage: Archaea
Description: bacterial SSU rRNA
Rfam family: Archaeal small subunit ribosomal RNA
Source: RNAcentral
CCCCAAAAAACCAAAAGUGUGGAUGGGGUUACCCAAAGUGUUCAAUUUGAACUGUGGUAGGUGAGUAAUGUCCCCCACUUGAAAGGAGAGGGCAAGGCUGGUGCCAGCCGCCGCGGUAAAACCAGCUCUUCAAGUGGUCGGGAUAAUUAUUGGGCUUAAAGUGUCCGUAGCCGGUUUAGUAAGUUCCUGGUAAAAUCGGGUAGCUUAACUAUCUGCAUGCUAGGAAUACUGCUAUACUAGAGGGUGGGAGAGGUCUGAGGUACUACAGGGGUAGGGGUGAAAUCUUAUAAUCCUUGUAGGACCACCAGUGGCGAAGGCGUCAGACUGGAACGCGCCUGACGGUGAGGGACGAAAGCCAGGGGAGCGAACCGGAUUAGAUACCCGGGUAGUCCUGGCCGUAAACGAUGCAUACUAGGUGAUGGUACGGCCAUGAGCCGUAUCAGUGCCGUAGGGAAACCGUUAAGUGUGCCGCCUGGGAAGUACGGUCGCAAGGCUAAAACUUAAAGGAAUUGGCGGGGGA